AUUGAACGCUGGCGGCAUGCUUUACACAUGCAAGUCGAACGGCAGCGGGGAGGAGCUUGCUUCUCUGCCGGCGAGUGGCGAACGGGUGAGUAAUACAUCGGAACGUGUCGAGAAGAGGGGGAUAACCACCCGAAAGGGUGGCUAAUACCGCAUAAAUUCUGAGGAAGAAAGCUGGGGACCUAGGAAUAGGCCUAGCGCUUUUUGAGCGGCCGAUGUAGGAUUAGCUAGUUGGUGAGGUAAAGGCUCACCAAGGCGACGAUCUGUAGCGGGUCUGAGAGGAUGAUCCGCCACACUGAGACUGAGACACGCCCCAGACUCCUACGAGAGGCAGCAGUGGGGAAUUUUGGACAAAGGGGGCAACCCUGAUCCAGCCAUGCCGCGUGUAUGAAGAAGGCCUUAGGGUUGUAAAGUACUUUUGUUAGGGAAGAAAAGUCAGCUGUGAAUAAUGGCUGAUACUGACGGUACCUAAAGAAUAAGCACCGGCUAACUACGUG
RNAcentral lists this ribosomal RNA (494 nucleotides) under uncultured bacterium. RNAcentral's name for it is "partial 16S ribosomal RNA". It matches the Rfam family "Bacterial small subunit ribosomal RNA", at positions 30 to 507 of the family's 1533-position model. The record is from RNAcentral.